UACGUAGGUCCCGAGCGUUGUCCGGAUUUAUUGGGCGUAAAGCGAGCGCAGGUGGUUUAAUAAGUCUGAUGUAAAAGGCAGUGGCUCAACCAUUGUGUGCAUUGGAAACUGUUAGACUUGAGUGCAGUAGAGGAGAGUGGAAUUCCAUGUGUAGCGGUGAAAUGCGUAGAUAUAUGGAGGAACACCGGUGGCGAAAGCGGCUCUCUGGACUGUAACUGACGCUGAGGCUCGAAAGCGUGGGUAGCAAACAGG
This 252-nucleotide ribosomal RNA is filed under the name uncultured microorganism. RNAcentral's name for it is "partial 16S ribosomal RNA". It matches the Rfam family "Bacterial small subunit ribosomal RNA", at positions 524 to 776 of the family's 1533-position model. The record is from RNAcentral.